AGAGUUUGAUCUUGGCUCAGAUUGAACGCUGGCGGCGUGCUUUACACAUGCAAGUUGAGCGAGGCCACCCGCAAGGGUGAGUCGAGCGGCGAACGGGUGAGUAACGCGUGGAUGACCUGCCCUCGAAUGGGGAAUAACCCUGGGAAACUAGGGCUAAUACCGCAUAAGACCGAGAGGUGAAAGCGGGGUCGCAAGAUCUCGUGUUCGAGGAGGGGUCCGCGUUCGAUUAGCUAGUUGGUAGGGUAAUGGCCUACCAAGGCGACGAUCGAUAGCCGGCCUGAGAGGGUGAUCGGCCACACUGGAACUGAGACACGGUCCAGACUCCUACGGGAGGCAGCAGUGGGGAAUUUUGCGCAAUGGGCUAACGCCUGACGCAGCAACGCCGCGUGGAGGAUGAAGGUCUUUGGAUUGUAAACUCCUGUCAGCAGGGAAAAAGGGAUUUAGGCUAAUACCCUAGAGACUUGAUUGUACCUGCAGAGGAAGCCCCGGCUAACUCUGUGCCAGCAGCCGCCGCAGUAAC
RNAcentral lists this ribosomal RNA (520 nucleotides) under uncultured Acidobacteriota bacterium. Its description in RNAcentral is "bacterial SSU rRNA". It matches the Rfam family "Bacterial small subunit ribosomal RNA", at positions 8 to 526 of the family's 1533-position model. The record is from RNAcentral. Lineage: Bacteria; Pseudomonadati; Acidobacteriota.